AUGUAACCGCCAAUUGCAAUAUUUGAAAAAAAAACUCCGAUCAACCACUGUUUUGCUGUUGAUAAGUCCGUCGAUAAUUCAUCAUAAACUAAAGGAACACAGGUCAGAUUCGGACAACGACUUCAAAGUCAUUCGCAGAAUAGGCUAAACAAUUGGACGACGGAUACACUGGAUGAUAAUGUAGAUGGUCCAGGAUUAUCAGGGAAGGAUACUACAGGUGCUGAACACAGAAAACCGUUUACAAGAAAACAACUGGAGUUUGUGAAAGCUUCAAGGAAUUAAUCCUGCUGGGUACCCAUUCACUUCACCUUGCUCGAGUGCAGCACAGUGUGGAUAAAUGUGUUGCUGAAGGAAAAUACCAUUGCUAGGAUUUGAACCCACGACCCUCUGUUUGAAAGGUGAGAGACAGAACCACUUGACCACGACGCACCCACAAUUUACAAGCUGAUGUCAUAUCCCCACUUGUUCUUUAGUAUUUUAUAACAAGAAGUCCUGUUUAUUCACAUUUUGACCUCCAAGAACUAAAUAGUGGAGUGAAAAUGUAUUUAAUGUGAACAUAUGCAUUGCUGGAAAUCACUUCAUGAUAUGUGGGACAAAUCAUACACACGUGUAUGAAAAUAUGAAAUAAUUAUGGUUUCAUUUUAUUACAUAAGCCUAACAAAUAUUCCUGACGAUCAUGUGCACAUUCCAGUAAUAUUUCCCAAAAUGUUGCUAAACUUUCAAAUUAAAGACUUCGUUAUCAGAUUUUAAUGAAAUUGUCAACAUUAUGCUUUUCUGAUUCAUUCUUUUCCUACCUAAAUCUCCCCUUUUCUCAUGCUUUCUUUCUAUGGUCCCCUUCAUUCUCCUUAUCACUAUGUUAUAGGUAAAAUGUAACCGGUCGUCUAACCCAUUUGAUUGAAGGGUUAGGUACUCUACUCUAGGUACUCACAUUUAAAAGUUAUGUGAUUCAAACACAAAGUGUACAUCAGACAAACAAAAAACACUGAAAAUUUCAUCGAAAUUGAAUGAGUAUUAACGAAGUUAUGACGAAUUAAUGUUGUUAUUUUUUUGGUAAAACUGUUCUCUGCAUGUCCUCAUUAAAGGACAAGUCCACCCCAACAAAAAAUUGAUUUGAAUAAAAAGAGAAAAAUCCAACAAGCAUAACACUGAAAAUUUCAUCAAAAUCGGAUAAAAAAUAAGAAAGUUAUGAUAUUUUAAAGUUUCGCUUAAUUUCACAGAACAGUUAUAUGCACAUCCUGGUCUGUAUGCAAAUGAAGAGACUGAUGAUGUCAUCCACUCACUAUUUCUUUUGUAUUUUAUUAUAGGAAAUAUGAAAUUUUCUAAUUUUCUCCUCAUUGUCAAGUGAUACAACGAUUAAUUCCUCCCUGAACAUGUGGAAUUAGCAUUGUUUAAUACUAUAUGGUUCAGUCAAGUUGGUCCUUAUUGUCAAAUCUAUAAAAAAUGAAAUAUUGUAUAAUUCAAACAAUAAAAAACAAAAGAAAUAGUGAGUGAGGGACAUCAUCAACUUUCUCAUUUGAGUUGUGCAUAUCACUGUUUUGUGAAAAAUAAGCGAAACUUUAAAAUGUCAUAACUUUCUUAUUUUACAUCCAAUUUUGAUUUUUCUCUAUUUAUUCAAGUCAGCAUUUUCCUGGGGUGGACUUGACCUUUAAUAUACAAGAUCCCAAUUUAUAUAUUUUUUUUUAUUAUAUGAAUUCAAAUUUUGUCAGCUAGGUUGUAAGAAUUUACGAUUGACUACUGAUUUACUGUGUAAGACAAUCUUAUUUUUUCUCACACAUAGUUAAGUAAUUCAUCUGAUUCAACACAACAAAAAUAGACAAAAAAGAAAUAAGUGGGUAUCUUGUAUAUAUUAUUUUCUAUAUAUUUUGCAAAAUGUUAGAAAAAGAGGUCCCUAUUUUUCUUCUGUUUUUUCAGUGUUCCAAAUUAACUUAUUUCUUUUUCCUAUUUUCAUUAUAUUUUCAUUCUAUUUGUGAUAUAUCAUUUAUUUCUUUAUAUAUCUUUAUUGUAUUUAUGAUAAACUUUUGGCGUGUUUCUACAGAAAUCAUUAAAAAACGGUUUAUCUUUACCAUACCUUAUCGCCCUUAAACCAACCUGUUUCUACUGACCGAAUAAUCUGAUUAACUCGCAUUUCGCGUCACAAAUACGGCGGAAAUCGGAAAAUUCAACCUAUAACCUCACAUUGCAUCUUGCUAGGGAAAUUUUCAAAAUUUAUGGUAGAUCUCACUCAAUGUAGCAGGUAUGCACAUUGCGCGAUCAGCUGGCGAGAUCGAAAAGGCCAGAAUAUAUGCAUACUGCGAAAUUGCACUUCCGGGUUCAAGCACUUCCGCCAGACACAA
Long non-coding RNA from Lytechinus pictus (painted urchin), 2333 nucleotides. RefSeq lists it as uncharacterized. The record is from RefSeq and is a predicted model, not a curated record. Lineage: Eukaryota; Metazoa; Echinodermata; Echinoidea; Temnopleuroida; Toxopneustidae. The transcript has 3 exons.